AAACAUGAUUAACAUUUGUUUCCAGUCCUUCAUUUGUAGGCCCCCAUCAUCCAUCUUCUUCAGAUUGCUUCCCAAUCGACUUCUUCAUACUGAACAACUGCAGCAAAGAAUAAUAAAAGGAAUAAAGCAGAUUCAUGGUUAAUGCCAAUGCUCAAGGAAUAAUAAAGUUAAAAGAGGAAAUGUGAAAUUAUCAAAUCAAGAGCCGGUAGAGGGUUUACUGCACAAGGACCCUGCAGAGGAAAAGCUUUAUCCCAGAUUAGUAACUAUGGACUAAAUUCCAGGAAUAUAAAAUUUCUAAGCCAGCCAAGGUAACAACACUACGUAAUAAAACGUCACAAAUUAUUCAGGAACAAAAGCUUUCUGACUAGUCUCGUAUUCUCCUCACACAGGUAAAUGAUUUAACUUUUGGAGCCACAAAAAUCAAUGCAACCAUCUUCACCUUCACAAUACAUUAUUAUAGCACAAAUUGAGGAGAGAAUUUAACCAAAUAACCCAAACAACUAACCUAGCUAAAGUUACAUUUGCCAUCCAUUAAUGAUUGAUAAUAAUUAUCCACAACAGCUUCCAUGUGUAAAGGACACAUUAUCUGAAAGUUCAGUAGUCAGCAAAGAAUUAUUAUCGAUUUAAACAAGUAUGACCAGGAAUAUUAACUUUUUCCUUCUGUGUUGUCUUUUAGUGUACAUUUUGAGCUCGAAAAACUUGUGGGAAAACAAAGGAAAGGAAAAGACAGAAAAACAACAAAGAAAAUGAAAAUAGUCCAUGCUUAUACUCAUACUCCAUCAUCAAACUAAAAUCCCAACAAGAGAACAAUCAAUCAAAUAACUAAGAGCACAUCUUUUUACAACUAAACUAAUUGUAUGUUUUCUCCAUGUCUGCCACUUUAAACCCUUCCCACUUUAAUUCUUUUUCCACCAAAAGCAUACAACUAUCUCUUAAACAUCAAAUUAUGUAAUCAUAGAAGUUCAUUGUGGCAAACUGAUAAAACAGAUAGACGUAAAGGCAAAAAUAACUAUCUCCCUUGCUUGCCAAAGAUAAAGUAAUACAGUCAUCAAAAAGCUUUGCUCGGCAUAACAACGAGACAAUAGAAUAAAGAGAAAGGCCUCAUAGAGCACUAAUAUCAUAUACUUCAAAGUAGACCUAUUCCAAAGAGUAAGAUACAAGGCUCCUUUCAUUAUCUGUCAGGGAACCUAACAAAUUUUUCAUAUUGAUGCAAUUCAUUACAAUAACACUUAAAACUAGGUUUCCAACUAAACAACAAGAUAAGCUAAGCUGAUUUUGGUAACAUCGUACUUUUAUAGCUUGAGAAACCAUCUAAUAUAUAUGAAAUAGACUUUUAGAACGAGUCAUAUCAGUCACCGAGCUGUUGGGCUCAAGUCAGCAGAACAUUGUAAUAUACAAAAUUGAAGCUGCUAUAGUUUGAUUGAGCAAUGAGCCCCUUAUUAAACUAACAUGGAGAUUAUGUAUAUAAUAAUCACAAGAACAAAUUUACAAAUGUUGAUACAAAGAAUAAGGUGGUGUUUGAUUACAAUUGAAUGCAUCUUAACAGCCCAUCUCUUAUUCGCUAAGAGACAUGAAGUUGUUUGCUAAAAUUUUUUUGGCUCUGAAUACGUCUAAAUCGUUAAUAUACAAAAUUAAAUCCAAACCAUUUAGAUGUCCAUCUGAACGAAAUUAACUAUUUUUUGGACAAAAAUGACCUCUUUAAUAUUACAAAAUUCCUCUUUUAUCCCCAAUAACCCUAAUCAAUCUGCAUCUAAACAAAUUUCAAAGUGGGCAAGGCAUCAUAAUUUGAUAUGGAAAGAGGAAGAACAAAGGGAACAAAGGGACCAAAAUCAUCAAGAAGGUAUUGAACAAAGAAUUUAGGAAGUUCAUGAAUUAAGGUUUUUAUUGAGGUUGAUUUGAAUUUUGGGUACCAUUCUUGAAUCUGGCAUCUAUUUACUUCUUCUUCCUUCAUCUUCCAGAAGUGGGUAAAACUGUUGACCAAUAAUCCGCCAUUAAACCGCUAGUCACGAAGAAGCCCACCAUCUGAUCCAGGAAAAAAAACACAUUCAUACACACACAUAUAUAUAUAUAUAUAUACCAAGAAUAACAAACUAGAUCUACAAUUUCACCAUGAAUAAAUUUAAAAAAUAAAUAAAUAAAUUAACCAAGCACAAAUCCAUGUCUCUGAUCUACCUCGUCAUCCAACCUAACAAUAUCCAGAAUAAGAACAAAAAAGAGAAAAGAAGAAGAAGAAAAUGGGUUGUCUAGCAAUUUCUUUUUCUUUUUUGCUUUCUCUUCUUUGCUAGAAAUGAGAAAAAAGGGAAAGAUGAAGAGACGGAGACGGGGAGAGGGAUGAGAGACAGGGAUGGGAAAAUGCAGGGGAAGUGAGGGGUUUUUCUUAAGGGUUAAAGUGGUAAAAUACUAUUAUUCAGAUAAUUAAAAAAAUUAAUUAUCAAACAAUAUUUCUUUAUUUAAAUACAAUUUUAGACAAAUGCUCUACAUUAUUCAGAUGUCUAAACUGUUCCGAUCUUAACAUUCAGUUUUAUCAAACACGACCUAAAUGGCAUGUGCCUUAAUAACAAAUAAAAAAUGCAACUUUAUCAAUUACUAUUAUAUAUCCUAGGAAUUUAAGACAAGAUAAUGGAGUUUAAUUUUAAAAAAUCCCCAAACCAACAAGGUCAGCACAAAUCAAAGGGCAGAAAAAGACAGCCAUUACCAAAAAAAUUAGAUACAAAUAAUGAAAUAGAUAUAGCCUACAACUAUCAUGCCCAAAAUAUCUCUGGAACAUAGUAAAAGUAACCCUAGUAAAGGACAUGAAAAAGUAUUAAGAGUGAUUACUUCUAUGCAGGGUUGGAUCCAUUUAGGGGGCAGCAUAGGCAGCUGCCCCUGCUGGAUUUUUUUGUUUAUAAGUAUAGGGGUAUAUGCAAAUAUAUAAGUGAAUAAAUUUAAGUGGACAGAUUAAUGGAAGAGUUAAACUCGGAAAGGGAAAAAAAAAUUCAUUCAUAUUUUAAAUACAAGUAUAGACAAACGUAGAUUCAUUCUACUCCUUUCUUCUAAAUUGUAUCUAAACAUUUUUUAUUUAAAAUUUCUUUUGUAGUUUAAAUUAUGAAUAUUUAUUGCAAUUUGUAAACAUUAUUAUGAUUAGUUCAAGUUUUUUUUAUUUAACUUCAACAAAAAAAUUAGUUAAAAUCCACACCUGCUAGGAAAAUUUUCUGGAUCUGCCCCUGCUUCUACGGGUACGUUCUUUGUACAAAAUAUGGUAACCACACUCCCGACACUAAAUCACAUCCCCAAGCUUCAGUAUAUUUUCCUGCCCACAAUCUACACAACAAAUUCAAGCCCAUAACAAAUUAACAAAAUGUCUAACAAGUAUGAAAAAUAUGUAACAUAUAUAUAUAUGGUUUCAAUUCAUGACAACCGGUUGCUAGAGUCGCUAUUCCAGCAACCAACAUCAGAGCUGUUAUCAAAAACAUGGAAGGCUAAGAUUAAAAGAAAUAGUCCCAACUGUUACAACCAGUAGCGGCACACAUAACUACAUGUACCGGCUUCUAUUUUAAUAUUGGGUCCAACCUGGUCAAACAAAAGUACAAAUGGACCCCACUUUUUAAUUUUCUUAAGUGCCGCUACAACAUGUAGCGGUUAACCCAUUAUUUCAAACAAUUUUCUUUUUAAAAAUCCCACCGGUCAAACUAAAUGUACAAAUGGGUCCCACUUUUGGGCAAUUAUUUUAUUUUUUUUUAAACUCCCACCUGUUUAAACAUUUUCGUACAAAUGUACAAAUCUCUUUUUUUAUUCAGUUUUCUGCUACAACAUGUAGCGACUGGCUAAUAAAAUUUGAUCCCUACCUUUUAAAACUCCCUCAUUAAUUUAUUAACCCAUUAAUUUUUUAACCUUAGAUGUAAUCAUGAACCCCAGUUAAUUUAUUAACCCCCUAUAUAAUAUUAAACUAACCCAUUAAUGUGUGCCGCUACAACAUGUAGCGGUGGACACCAAAAUAACUUCUUCAUUAAUUUAUUAACCCAUUAAUUAAUUAAUUUUUUAAUCUUAGAUGUAAUCAUUAACCCCAUUAAUUUAUUAACCCCCUCAUAUAUUAAACUAACCCAUUAAUGUGUGCCGCUACAACAUGUAGCGGUGGACACCAAAAUAACUUCUUCAUUAAUUUAUUAACCCAUUAAUUAAUUAAUUUUUUAAUCUUAGAUGUAAUCAUUAACCCCAUUAAUUUAUUAACCCCCUCAUAUAUUAAACUAACCCAUUAAUAUUUGCCGCUACAAGUUGUAGCGAUUGGACUGUUUACAUUCUUCCAUUUAAAGCUGCAAUUUUAAAAGUUUAAAGCUGCAAUGGUAGUUGACCCUGAAAAAUGGAACAAACGACAUGGCAUACAUUUCAGGGUCAACCAUCAUUGCAGCUUUAAACUUUUAAAAUUGCAGCUUUAAAUGGAGGAAUGUAAACAGUCCAACUGCUAUAACUUGUAGCGGCACACAUUAAUGGGUUAGUUUAAUAUAUGAGGGGUUAAUAAAUUAAUGAUUACAUCUAAGAUUAAAAAAUUAAUUAAUAAAUUAAUUAAUAAGGGAGUUAUUUUGGUGUCCAGCCACUACCUGUUCGUCUUUGGUUUUCCGUAUAUAUAUAUAUAUAUAUAUAUAUAUAUAUAUAUAUAUAUAUAUAUAUAUAUAUAUAUAUAUAUAUAUAUAUAUAUAUAUAUAUUUGCUAUGGAUGAAAAAUAGGCAAAUAACAUCAUAAAAUUAAGGGUUCAGAUUCAAAACACAAUUUCUUGCAUCCGCUAGUUCAACUAGCGGACACAAAAAAAAAAUAGGCCCAAAUUACCCCAUAUCAAGCUAUUUACGCCUUUGUUGGUAUUUAUCCGCUAGUUGAACUAGCGGAAGAAGAAUUAGCUUGAUUACCAUGUUAUCCCAAAUAUUUUACAUAGUUAAACCCACAUCAAAAUUGGAAUAAAAAACUUACUGAAUAAAUGCAGAUAGGUUAAUUUAGAACACAAAUUCGAUGCUUGAGAAACCCUAAUUGAAAAUCGCAGUAGGUUUUUUGCUCCAAUUCGAUUGCACAAGUGCACAGACCAUGCCCCAAUUCGAGUGAAAUCACGCGAAACCCUAAUUAAAAAUCGCAACAGGGUUUUUUGCCCCAAUUCUGACUCUGCCCCAAUUCGAGAAUUAUGUGUUGGAGUUCUGUCCGCUAGUUCAACUAGUGGACGAUCUUAAUGGCUUGAUAUGGGGUAAUUUGGGCCUAAAUUUUUUUUUGUCAACUUGUGUUUUAAAUCUGAGCCCUUAGUUUAUCAUUUAUGUAAUGGAUGGUUAUGAUGUUAUUUGCCCAUUUUGCAUUCAUAGCAAAUACAUGCUAUGGAUUAUUUUCCUAUAUAUAUAUAUAUAUAUAUAUAUAUAUAUAUAUAUUAGUUGUGUUCCGUGACUCUACGGUGUGAUUUAUCCCAAACUUUGGACAGCCCAGAUGAUUUAUUAGGGUGAGCUGGAAAUUCAAAAUUUGUUAGAUAGAUAUAAAGGGGUAACUGAAACGCAAACCUCCACAGAUGUAGCUCACAGGUUCCGGUUGAGGAUCCAUUAAUGAUAAACACGAAUCAAAUCACUGAAAAUGGGAACAAACAUUAAUAGAAACUUAAACAGAUAAAACCACUAGAAAUUUGCAAAAUUGUACUUCUAAUAUUGAAGAUAAAGAAACAACUUCAAUUCGAUUAGAGAAAGACAUCAAAUCAAUGAAAUCGAAAUUCGAUUAAAAAGAGAAUAAAUCGAUGAAUCGCUUACCUUUGAGCGAGCGAGCGAGCGAGAGAGGGAGGGAAAGAGAGUUCGAGGUUUAUUAUAAAUUUGGGAAUACGAGAAGAGGGU
RNAcentral lists this long non-coding RNA (5825 nucleotides) under Panax ginseng (ginseng). RNAcentral's name for it is "long non-coding RNA (PGIN_LNC006241)". The record is from RNAcentral. Lineage: Eukaryota; Viridiplantae; Streptophyta; Magnoliopsida; Apiales; Araliaceae.